This 82-nucleotide transfer RNA is filed under the name Pseudomonadota bacterium. Its description in RNAcentral is "Proteobacteria bacterium (marine metagenome) tRNA-Leu". It matches the Rfam family "tRNA". From Rfam's summary of the family: Transfer RNA (tRNA) molecules are approximately 80 nucleotides in length. Their secondary structure includes four short double-helical elements and three loops (D, anti-codon, and T loops). The record is from RNAcentral. Lineage: Bacteria; Pseudomonadati; Pseudomonadota.
GGGGGUGUGGCGGAAUUGGUAUACGCGCUCGGCUCAAAAUCGAGUGGCUUCGGCCGUGUGGGUUCGAGUCCCACCGCCCCUA